Molecule: transfer RNA, 80 nt
Filed under: Dreissena polymorpha
Lineage: Eukaryota; Metazoa; Mollusca; Bivalvia; Myida; Dreissenidae
Description: tRNA-Ser
Source: RNAcentral
CCUUUGCCUAGUGGUUAAGGCGAUAGACUAGAAAUCUUUUGGGAUAUUCCCGCGCAGGUUCGAAUCUUGGCGACGAAGUA